This 382-nucleotide ribosomal RNA is filed under the name Cryptosporidium sp. NAY-2012. RNAcentral describes it as "SSU rRNA". It matches the Rfam family "Eukaryotic small subunit ribosomal RNA", at positions 667 to 1053 of the family's 1831-position model. The record is from RNAcentral. Lineage: Eukaryota; Apicomplexa; Conoidasida; Eucoccidiorida; Cryptosporidiidae.
UUAAUAAUUUAUAUAAAAUAUUUUGAUGAAUAUUUAUAUAAUAUUAACAUAAUUCAUAUUACUAUAUAUUUUAGUAUAUGAAAUUUUACUUUGAGAAAAUUAGAGUGCUUAAAGCAGGCAUAUGCCUUGAAUACUCCAGCAUGGAAUAAUAUUAAAGAUUUUUAUCUUUCUUAUUGGUUCUAAGAUAAGAAUAAUGAUUAAUAGGGACAGUUGGGGGCAUUUGUAUUUAACAGUCAGAGGUGAAAUUCUUAGAUUUGUUAAAGACAAACUAAUGCGAAAGCAUUUGCCAAGGAUGUUUUCAUUAAUCAAGAACGAAAGUUAGGGGAUCGAAGACGAUCAGAUACCGUCGUAGUCUUAACCAUAAACUAUGCCAACUAGAGAU